RNAcentral lists this ribosomal RNA (451 nucleotides) under uncultured bacterium. RNAcentral describes it as "bacterial SSU rRNA". It matches the Rfam family "Bacterial small subunit ribosomal RNA", at positions 335 to 798 of the family's 1533-position model. The record is from RNAcentral.
ACUCCUACGGGAGGCAGCAGUGGGGAAUAUUGCACAAUGGGCGCAAGCCUGAUGCAGCAACGCCGUGUGAGUGAAGAAGGUUUUCGGAUCGUAAAACUCUGUCCUAAGGGAAGAAACAAAUGACGGUACCUUAGGAGGAAGCCCCGGCUAACUACGUGCCAGCAGCCGCGGUAAUACGUAGGGGGCAAGCGUUAUCCGGAAUCACUGGGGCGUAAAGGGUGCGUAGGCGGCUUAGCAAGCCAGGGGUGAAAGGCAUUGGCUCAACCAAUGUAAGCCUUUGGAACUGUUAGGCUUGAGUGCAGGAGAGGUAAGUGGAAUUCCUAGUGUAGAGGUGAAAUUCGUAGAUAUUAGGAGGAACACCAGUGGCGAAGGCGACUUACUGGACUGUAACUGACGCUGAUGCACGAAAGCGUGGGUAGCGAACAGGAUUAGAUACCCUGGUAGCGACUGA